GACGAACGCUGGCGGCGCGCUUAACACAUGCAAGUCGAACGGAAAGGCCUGCUUUCCCUUGUGGAUUGCGGGUACUCGAGUGGCGAACGGGUGAGUAACACGUGAGUGAUCUGCCCCCAACUUGGGUAUAAGCCUGGGAAACUGGGUCUAAUUCCCGAUAGGACUGCAGGGUGGUGCCUGUGGUGGAAAACGAUUUUCUAGUGGUUGGGGAUGAGCUCGCGGCCUAUCAGCUUGUUGGUGGGGUAAUGGCCUACCAAGGCGGCGACGGGUAGCCGGCCUGAGAGGGUGGACGGCCACAUUGGGACUGAGAUACGGCCCAGACUCCUACGGGAGGCAGCAGUGGGGAAUAUUGCACAAUGGGCGGAAGCCUGAUGCAGCGACGCGGCGUGGGGGAUGACGGCCUUCGGGUUGUAAACUCCUUUCGACCGCGAGGAAGCCACCUGGUUGGAAGGGUGGUGACGGUAGUGGUAGAAGAAGCACCGGCUAACUACGU
RNAcentral lists this ribosomal RNA (493 nucleotides) under uncultured bacterium. RNAcentral's name for it is "partial 16S ribosomal RNA". It matches the Rfam family "Bacterial small subunit ribosomal RNA", at positions 28 to 506 of the family's 1533-position model. The record is from RNAcentral.